Molecule: small RNA, 1682 nt
Filed under: Pan troglodytes (chimpanzee)
Lineage: Eukaryota; Metazoa; Chordata; Mammalia; Primates; Hominidae
Description: retained intron
Source: RNAcentral
GGAACAGCUGGAGCAAGUGAUCCCCCCUGUGUGCGGGGCAUGGACAGCUGCUCUCUAGAGAUUGCUAACUGGAGGAACCACCAGGAGACUCUCAAAUACCAGUUUGAUGCCUUCUAUGGGGAGAGGAGUACUCAGCAGGACAUCUAUGCAGGUUCAGUGCAGCCCAUCCUAAGGCACUUGCUGGAAGGGCAGAAUGCCAGCGUGCUUGCCUAUGGACCCACAGGAGCUGGGAAGACGCACACAAUGCUGGGCAGCCCAGAGCAACCUGGGGUGAUCCCGCGGGCUCUCAUGGACCUCCUGCAGCUCACAAGGGAGGAGGGUGCCGAGGGCCGGCCAUGGGCCCUUUCUGUCACCAUGUCUUACCUAGAGAUCUACCAGGAGAAGGUGAGGCCCUGUGCUGGUUGGGAGAGGAGCAACAAAGGGUCAAAGUAAGACCUGGUUCUAGAAUAUGAAGCUCUCCUGUAGCAGGGAGGUAAGGUGAGACCUAGAAAGACAGAGACUGGGGUAGCAGAUGGUACAACUCCGAGAAUAGAACAGAGAAAGGAAACUGAUCCCCAGGAAGAAACAGCCUCUCUAUGGAGAAUUGCCCUGCCCCUUCACUGCUUACACAGGUAUUAGACCUCCUGGACCCUGCUUCGGGAGACCUGGUAAUCCGAGAAGACUGCCGGGGGAACAUCCUGAUUCCGGGUCUCACCCAGAAGCCCAUCACUAGCUUUGCUGAUUUUGAGCGGCACUUCCUGCCAGCCAGUCGAAAUCGGACUGUAGGAGCCACCCGGCUCAACCAGCGCUCCUCCCGCAGUCACGCUGUGCUCCUGGUCAAGGUGAGGCCGCAGACAGGGGCGAGGACCUGGGAAGCCCAGGAGCCUGAGCUAAGCACGAGACCUUUGUUCUUACCCCCAGGUGGACCAGCGGGAACGUUUGGCCCCAUUUCGCCAGCGAGAGGGAAAACUCUACCUGAUUGACUUGGCUGGGUCAGAGGACAACCGGCGCACAGGCAACAAGGGCCUUCGGCUAAAAGAGAGUGGAGCCAUCAACACCUCCCUGUUUGUCCUGGGCAAAGUGGUAGAUGCGCUGAAUCAGGGCCUCCCUCGUGUACCUUACCGGGACAGCAAGCUCACUCGCCUAUUGCAGGUCAGGCCCACCUGUCUCAGGGAAGAAGGGGCUGCAGAAGGAGGUUCUCAGGCCUGCUGUGGGGUGGGGAAUAGCAGUUGAGGCACAGGAAGGCUGGGCUUCUGACCCACCCACUGCCUGGUCUCACCCUCAGGACUCUCUGGGUGGCUCAGCCCACAGUAUCCUUAUUGCCAACAUUGCCCCUGAGAGACGCUUCUACCUAGACACAGUCUCCGCACUCAACUUUGCUGCCAGGUCCAAGGAGGUGAUCAAUCGGCCUUUUACCAAUGAGAGCCUGCAGCCUCAUGUCUUGGGACCUGUUAAGCUGUCUCAGAAAGAAUUGCUUGGUCCACCAGAGGCAAAGAGAGCCCGAGGCCCUGAGGAAGAGGAGAUCGGGAGCCCUGAGCCCAUGGCAGCUCCAGCCUCUGCCUCCCAGAAACUCAGGUGAGCAGUGGGGCCUUGGGUGUAUCCCCUUCCUGAUGUGUGGCUUAGCAGCAGAGCUGCAAUGCCUGUCAGAUCCUUGAGCAGAGAGCUGUGAUCUUGUUCCUCUCCCAUUAAAUUCACCCUAGGCC